This is an RNA transcript of Pangasianodon hypophthalmus (striped catfish), 3217 nucleotides long. It is a transcript of the gene named putative C-type lectin domain family 20 member A, with no coding region annotated. The record is from RefSeq and is a predicted model, not a curated record. The transcript has 4 exons. Lineage: Eukaryota; Metazoa; Chordata; Actinopteri; Siluriformes; Pangasiidae.
UAUUGAACACUUGAUUGAGGCAGGUGGAACAUCUAUGGGUGUUCUGUGGAACUGGAUUGCGGAAAAUGCCGUGUAGAUGGCCUAUUUGUUUGUAAUAGCUUCAUGAUUCUGAAACUUGUGCUCUCAUCUCCUAGGCUUCUUUGUCUUUAGUCUGACACACAGUGGGCACUUUGGGAAGUGAGCUGUCAAUAAGUUCCCCCUGAGGAGAGAGAUAGUUGCACUCAAAUAAGAUAAAUAUGUCCUCAGGUGCAUAAAGGACAAGGCAUCUUUUUUUAAAUCUUUUUUUUUUUUUUUUUUUUGUAAUUUUGUGGUAGUUUUUACACCACCAUAUAAAUAUAAAUACAUAAUUAGAAAUAUAAAAAUAUUUCUCUACUAUAUUUCCUGGAACUGAGCUCUGUAACAUCUUCAUGAGUUCUUCUUGAUCAAGCUCAGCUGGUCUCAAUCUUCAAUUAUAUGUCUGUAAAAGGUAGUCAUAUAAGGAGGGCUCUUUGGAAGGACCUUAGCCUCCAAGUUGUGUGGUCUAAGCUCCUGAUUUAUCUAUUUUAGCUGAACCGUGAAUGCUGCUAAGUGAUUGAUUCACCUAGAAGAUAUCUCAGAUUGCUUCUGGGCUUCUUGUUUUAUUUAUAUAGUUAUCUGGGCAUUUGUGACUAGUUUGGGCUGCAGUGUUUGGUCAGAAUACUCUCCAAAUUAGGGUCUAAAUCUGCUAGCUCAUAGUGCCAUUGUGUGGAGGAAAAGCUAACACCAGCCCCAGAGCUGUGCUUUAUCAGAAUCCAGCAGUAAGCACACUCAAUCAAGAACAGUGGGGUAUGGCACAGCUUUGUAGGACAGGUUACCUGGAGCUCUGAUCAUAGUUGCUAAGCAAAUAUAGUCGCAAGUUGCUAAGCAAAUAGAUCCAUAUGUUUGGAGCUUGGAAGAUGACACAAGUGUUUGAAUAUGAAUUUUAUAUUAUUAUUAUGAAUUAUGCACACAUUACAUGAAAUGAAAUUCUUUUUUUCUGUGGUGUAUUUAAUACAUUUUUAUUUAUGCCAAUUUUUUUUUCUUUGUUUGCUAGGGAUAAGAUUUCAGAAUUUAACAUACAAACAUAACAUGCAUACAAAAACUGAAUGUCAAAAAUACACAUUUCAUAUAAAUUAGGUCAAAGGUGAAUAAUCCAGUAUGUCCAGGGAAAGUAACUAGCUAGAACAUUAUCUAAAUAGUUAGACUUGGCAUGUACUAAGCAUCUAGUGCUUAACCUGACUGUAGAAAAAGAGAUACUUGAGUACAACGUAAAAGUUUUGAUGCACUUAUUUCAUUCCAGCUCAUCUUCUAUUUUUUGUAACUCCACUUCUCCUGUUCAUUUCACUUUGUGGUCAUGGUGCGAGCGCGGCAGAUGACUGAUUGGUGAUGUUGAGUUUGACCCCUUUGAAAGUGUCUACUUUGCCCUGGGAAUCUAGGAUGAUUCAUCUUUGAUCUAAUUUACAUAAAAUCUGUAUUUUGGAGAUUGUAAUUUUUGUAUUUAUGGUUCUGAAUUUUUAAAAUCUGAAAUCCAACAGGAAAGGAAAAAGAUGUCUUUAUAAAGCAGUAUUUAUUGCAAAUCCUGUGUCAAAACAUCAAUUUCUAACUUUAUCAAGAAGUCUCAGCAUGUACGCACACACGCACGAGAAGAUAUCCAGGUGAUUUUCACCACCCCUGAUGGUCAAAGGAGGUUAAUUAGAAACAUCUUUAUGAACGUUGAGAAACACCAAGAGCACUGGGUCCAGCAGAUACAUUCUUAUUUCUACUUCUAUGACGUUUCAUGAUGCUCAGAGUUACUGCAGGCAGCAUCACACAGACCUGGCCAGUGUGAUAAACGAAGAGGAAAAUGUAAUUAUUAAACAAUUAGUCUCUUCUAAUUCUUGGUUUGGUCUGUUCAGAGACCUCUGGAAGUGGUCAGACCAGAGCAACUUCUCUACCGUUAGUUGGGUGUCGGGAAAACCGUGGGGUGCGGGGAUCGAUGAUAAUUGUGCUAAUUUUAUUAAAGGCCAGGUUGACGCUGCACAAUGCUCUGAGAUGAUGCCUUUCUUCUGUCUCUCAGAUUUUACAAAAGAACAAAUCAUGAGAAUGAAGGUUAAAUCGAAUCAGGAUGUGAAUGAUCCUGCAGUGAAGGCAGCAAUCUUACAGAAGAUCAAGCAAAAACUGAAGGAGCAUGGGAUAGCAGAGAACACCACAAUGAAAUGGAGAGAGCAACCAGAUGGCAUGGUCUUUCACAAGAUAAUAAUGUAAAUAAUGUUGAAGAAAAUAAGACAAGGCAAAAAUGUGACCUCUAAAUCAGUUAAUGUAAGCAUUCUUUUCUUAAGAUAGAAAUUGAACAGACCUUACUUUUAGUGCCUUUUGGAAUGUAUUGCUAAAUAAAACAAGAAUGAAAAUCAUCAUCAUCAGCUUUAAUUAAUAAGUUUUGCUAAGUUUUAAACAGGCAUUUUUUAAUUAAUUAGUCUACAGUCCACAUGCAUUAGAGAUGUUAACAGAUUAUAAAAUAGCACGAAGUGGAAUUUUGUUAUUUUAUUCUUUUUAUUGUUAUAAUAAAAAGAUAGUUCAUGCAGUUGCUCAUGUGCAUACUCAUGAUUACAUUGUACUUGUCCUGUAUCCUUACAAUACAGUCACUUGAAAAAGAAAGUACACUCUCCUUCAAUGUUUUUAUUUAUAAGUGCCUAAAUAAUAAUUGUGUGGUCCUGCCCAACAUUCAUAAACCAAAAAAAAAAAAACAGAUUUCAAUAUGUAGUCAUUUUUUCCAAAAAGUAACCACCAUAAUCUUGUGUAAUUCAUUAGUAACACCUGGCUGCUAGUUAUUCUCUUAAUGAUUGUGGAAGUAGGAACGGUGUACUUAUUUUUUCCCACCUGGUUUCUGAAUGUUUACUUUUGAAAAAAUGACUACAUAAUGAAAUGCGUUUUUUUUUUUUUUUCUUUUGCCAUCUGAAGUAGGUAAGGAUCACACUAUUGUUAUUUAGACCCUGAUAAAUAAAAACUUAGAAUUAAAGAAGGAUGUACUUUUCUCAUGACUGUAUAGUGUUGAAUGCUUACAACAGAGGUUUAAUUAUUUAUCCAAUGAGUAUAUAUGAUUACAAAAUAUUUAAAAUUAUUUAGCAUUUAGGUAAUGUAUUUGUAAUAUUAAAAUAAUGGUUUAUAACCUAUUGCUAUAUAUGUAUGGUGCUUAAAAUCCUUUUAACAAAUGUGUAAGGCAUGAAUUCAAUAGUUAUACAUG